RNAcentral lists this ribosomal RNA (374 nucleotides) under Chrysocapsa paludosa. Its description in RNAcentral is "partial small subunit ribosomal RNA". It matches the Rfam family "Eukaryotic small subunit ribosomal RNA", at positions 30 to 432 of the family's 1831-position model. The record is from RNAcentral. Lineage: Eukaryota; Chrysophyceae; Chromulinales; Chrysocapsaceae.
GCUUGUCUCAAAGAUUAAGCCAUGCAUGUCUAAGUAUAAACGAUUUUAUACGUGAAACUGCGAAUGGCUCAUUAUAUCAGUUAUAGUUUAUUUGAUGGUCCUUACUAUUUGGAUAACCGUAGUAAUUCUAGAGCUAAUACAUGCACAAAAUCCCGACUUACGAAGGGAUGUAUUUAUUAGAUACAAACCAACAUCGUGGUGAUUCAUAAUAACUUUCGGAUCGAUUUAUCGAUGCAUCAUUCAAGUUUCUGCCCUAUCAGCUUUGGAUGGUAGGGUAUUGGCCUACCAUGGCUUUAACGGGUAACGGAGAAUUAGGGUUCGAUUCCGGAGAGGGAGCCUGAGAAAUGGCUACCACAUCCAAGGAAGGCAGCAGG